Non-coding RNA from Pelobates cultripes (western spadefoot toad), 549 nucleotides. The record is from the annotation of a GenBank genome assembly. Lineage: Eukaryota; Metazoa; Chordata; Amphibia; Anura; Pelobatidae.
CCAAUACAAGUUUAAAUGGUGCGAAACUAAAUUAAAAUAUUUGGGCAUAUGGCUGACCAAAGACCCGUCCCAAUUAUACCACCAUAACUAUCUCCCCCUCCUACUCUCACUUCAGACAGACCUUAAGAAAUGGACCCCAUAUUACAUCUCCUGGUUCGGACGUAUCAAUGCGAUUAAAAUGAACGUGUUACCCAGGAUACUCUACCUAUUCCAAACAGUGCCAAUUACUCUCCCCAGAGCCUUUUUUAGCUCUAUGACGACUGCCAUCCGCAGAUUCGUCUGGAACUCUCGCCCAACCCGAAUAAAAAAAUCAACCCUGGAACUACCAAAACUGAUGGGAGGCACGGGACUGCCCUCCAUAGAGACAUAUUACCGCGCCGCUCACCUGCACAGACUGACGGACUGGCACGCACAACACCCAUUAAAACAAUGGGUGACCAUUGAGCUAGAACAAACCGAUAGAAAAAUACCCUCUAGGCUUUGGCUACAUACAGCCACAUACACUGACCUGCACACCGAGAACCCACUAAUUGACGCAACGCUCCGAGU